GAAGAAGAUCUUCAAGGUCGAUGAUCACAUCGGCGCCGCCAUCGCCGGACUCACCGCCGACGGCCGCGUCUUGUCUCGUUACAUGCGCAACGAGUGCAUCAAUCAUUCGUUUGUGUAUGAGUCGCCUCUCCCGGUUUCCCGGCUUGUUGUCAAGCUCGCUGAUAAGGCCCAGGUUUGUACUCAGCGAUCUUGGAAAAGGCCCUAUGGAGUGGGACUCCUAAUUGCUGGGUUGGAUGAAACUGGAGCCCACCUCUACUACAACUGCCCCAGUGGCAACUACUUUGAAUACCAGGCCUUUGCCAUAGGUUCCCGAUCCCAGGCUGCCAAGACAUACCUGGAGCGCAGAUUCGAGAAGUUCUCUGCUUACUCAGGCGAAGAACUGAUCAAAGAUGCACUUUUUGCCAUCAAAGAAACACUGCAAGGCGAGAAGCUGACAAGCUCCAU
Molecule: unclassified non-coding RNA, 444 nt
Filed under: Hevea brasiliensis (rubber tree)
Lineage: Eukaryota; Viridiplantae; Streptophyta; Magnoliopsida; Malpighiales; Euphorbiaceae
Source: RNAcentral